Molecule: long non-coding RNA, 468 nt
Filed under: Bos taurus (domestic cattle)
Lineage: Eukaryota; Metazoa; Chordata; Mammalia; Artiodactyla; Bovidae
Description: long non-coding RNA NONBTAT005927
Source: RNAcentral
CAGCUGGAACAUACGGACACUGCCAUUAAGAUCAUGCCCCAAGUAAUCUCUUUCAGCCUGGAUUCUGGAAUUAAGACAUUUGCAGCUGACCUGGACCAACCUGAAGCCUGGAGUCAGUCAAGUCUAACUGAGCCUAGCUGAGAUCAGAUUAAUCAUCCAUGGGUAUAAAUCAGCAGAUGAUAAAUGCAAAGCAGGAGACAGCAAUAAAACACUAUCAACUGGAGCUUCUGCAGCAGACACUGCUGGCUGCCUGACCAAUGACCAGCUCCCUCAUCCUUCUGUGUCAAAGAAGAGCCCACCUCUCCUGACAGCCAGAAAGUGCUGGAUCCUUGCUUUUGAGCUUUCCUGGCAGUGAGGGGCGUUCGUGGAAAUCAAUCUGGGCUAAUGACAUGUAAAGGAAAGUUUGCUGUGUUUGGAGGAGACUUCCAGAAAAUACUCCUCCCUGCUCCAUGAUUAAAAUGCUGCUGU